Molecule: ribosomal RNA, 253 nt
Filed under: uncultured bacterium
Lineage: Bacteria
Description: partial 16S ribosomal RNA
Rfam family: Bacterial small subunit ribosomal RNA
Source: RNAcentral
UACGUAGGGGGCGAGCGUUGUCCGGAAUCAUUGGGCGUAAAGCGCGUGUAGGCGGCCCGGUAAGUCCGCUGUGAAAGUCCAGGGCUCAACCCUGGGAUGCCGGUGGAUACUGUCGGGCUCGAGUCCGGAAGAGGCGAGUGGAAUUCCUGGUGUAGCGGUGAAAUGCGCAGAUAUCAGGAGGAACACCCGUAGCGAAGGCGGCACUCUGGGCCGAUACUGACACUGAGGAGCGAAAGCGUGGGGAGCGAACAGG